Molecule: ribosomal RNA, 360 nt
Filed under: Listeria monocytogenes
Lineage: Bacteria; Bacillati; Bacillota; Bacilli; Caryophanales; Listeriaceae
Description: partial 23S ribosomal RNA
Rfam family: Bacterial large subunit ribosomal RNA
Source: RNAcentral
UUUGUAGAAUGAACCGGCGAGUUACGAUUUGUUGCAAGGUUAAGCGGAAAAAGCGGAGCCGUAGCGAAAGCGAGUCUGAAUAGGGCGCAUAAGUAACAGGUCGUAGACCCGAAACCAGGUGAUCUACCCAUGUCCAGGAUGAAGGUAAGGUAAUACUUACUGGAGGUCCGAACCCACGCACGUUGAAAAGUGCGGGGAUGAGGUGUGGGUAGCGGAGAAAUUCCAAUCGAACUUGGAGAUAGCUGGUUCUCUCCGAAAUAGCUUUAGGGCUAGCCUCGAGGUAAAGAGUCAUGGAGGUAGAGCACUGUUUGGACUAGGGGCCCUUCUCGGGUUACCGAAUUCAGAUAAACUCCGAAUGCC